UUGAUAACGAGCUCCUCAUCUAACUUGUGGUGGCGCGUCAAUCUUUACGGGACCACUCCGACGGCCAACACACUGAUCAUCAUCGGACCAAGCGGCCAUGGAGGGACAUAUGUUCUGACCUUUUUGAGACCUGGGGGGAUUUAAAUGCGGCGUCUCCGAAGAUAUGUGGUUACAACGCGUUGCUGAUCUAUCCGGGACGGCUUCAGGAGGGACUAUAAGAAGGAGGUUCAGUCCCCGAUUGGGUCCGGAGCAACCUCAGGGAGUACAUAUACAGCGGCCUUGGUUUACGGCGACGCACAAUGGCACAAAGAAGAACUAAAAGCAGCACUCUGGAGACUGAACAACCUCCUGAUGCGGAAAAUGAAUGGAUCGCCAACGCCAGCCCUCCUGUCCCUCAUGCAUCUGCUCGGGAGAAUCCGGGUCCCCUACCGGAUCCCUUUGCUCAACAGAGGCUC
Molecule: long non-coding RNA, 455 nt
Organism: Bufo bufo (common toad)
Lineage: Eukaryota; Metazoa; Chordata; Amphibia; Anura; Bufonidae
Exons: 3
Source: RefSeq, a predicted model, not a curated record